This is a long non-coding RNA of Micropterus salmoides (largemouth bass), 1324 nucleotides long. RefSeq lists it as uncharacterized. The transcript is spliced from 3 exons. NCBI's taxonomy places the organism in Eukaryota, Metazoa, Chordata, Actinopteri, Centrarchiformes, Centrarchidae. The record is from RefSeq and is a predicted model, not a curated record.
UUUUCAUAUUGAGCAUGAUUGUAUUUUGUGUUUGUGAUAGAAGGUGUCCUGCAUUUUUCGGGUGAAUAAGCAGUCAGGUCAGGUUAACUAGCCUAGGGAGGUGGUUCUUGGAGACAUGUGUUAGCUAGCUAACAUUGCUGCAUGACUCAGGUUGAUAGGCUUUUAUCCCGCCGAGCCUGCCAAUCCGUGAACACUUGAACCCUCUGCUGUCGAUAGCAACACUGUUUACAGGCGCUUCAACACCUCAGCCUGUGCUGUGGUGUCCAUAGAGAAAGCUGUUUUUACAUGUCUGUGUUUAAGCUCUUAAGCUUUAGCUCUUCAUAGGCUGCUUUUGUAACACAGUGUCUUUGAUUUGGAGAGAUUAGUUUUACUCUUGUGUUCCUGUCUAUACUUUCAGAUAUCAGGCUUAUUUUACUGGUCGUAAUAAAUGCAAAAGUUACGUGUUUGCAGUAAAAACAGGUCAUUUUAAUUUUUAACAAACAGAUAUUUUGGACUUUUAUUAGUGUUGUAUUGAGCCAAUGGUUUGAAGUGUUUAUGAACUUUAAUGAGUCAGUAUUAGCCUAAAGCUGUGCAAGCUAUCUGUUAUUAUAAAUUGGGGGGGAGGGCAUCACAGAGUAGACAUGGCUUUUAGGUCAGUGUAAUGCUACAAAUUACGAAAGUGUGCCUCUUUUUCUCUCUGAAUUUCCAAGACUUUAUUUCAUCCUCUUCCCUUUCCCAGGUAAAGGAGAGCGCAUAAGGCUGCUCUUCAACUACCAAUAAUAUGUUGUGCUUGUGGAAUAUGUUUCUAGGUGGAAUUUCUGAGGAUUUCCACUGCUCCACUGUCUCAAAGUUCAUAGACAAACACACUUCCAAUCUCCUCAGUGUGUUGAAGAAGAAAGGAGGCUCUGCAGGAAGGGAACUUCGCAUACUUUUGGCCCAAAGCAACUGUUGAAAAGAGGAGGGAGAUCAUCCUCAGGGCAAUUGGUUUCUACCUGAUGAAGACCCAAACAUCCUCUUCAAAGUAUACCCGGAUCUGAUGCUACAGCUGUUCCGAGGGAGCUUGGACAAGUUAUCUUUACAGCAUCCGUGUUGAGGGAGGUGAUGCCACCACUCCUCCAGCUGAUGUUGGGAUAGUCACCGAGGGUGCUGAAGUUCUGCAUGACUUGGGAGACACCGCCUCUACAAGUGCACUCUUAAUAGGUGUAAUUAUGCACUGAACCUCCGUUAUCCUCAGAACCUUAAAGCCUUCCUUUGAGGUACUUCACAAGUGAUUCUUUCAACUAGAAGCUAGUGUGACACCCUGUGGGGUCAUGAGUGUGGCCUGUCUCUCUUGCGCUCUCUCUCU